UUUCUAUCUGUUCGUUUUUUCCUCUUCACUGAACUUAUGAGUUGUAUGGUAAAACAAUAAAUAGAAUUAGUCAAUGCAUAAUAAAUUGCUGUGCUUAUAACAAAUCCAGCGCAGCGAAAGCAGAAUGUUUUUUAAUUGCCAAACCAUUUCACCCUUUGUUCUCGCAAUAGUACAGUCAGGGGCAACAUGGCGCUUGGCAGGGUCGGCGGCUGCAUCCGAAUACUGCUUCCCGAUUGUCCCUCAAAAGGAUUACUUUGUGGCCGCAUACAAUCGGACUGUAUGGCAUGCAGAGUAGGAGCAAAAAGGCAUCUAUUGUCAGAGGAUGUUGUCAAACUACAAGAAUUUCAGCAGCGGAAACAGGCAGUGGCUCAUCAAGUGUCCGGAUCAAAAAGUUGGCUACUCAAGUUUUAAUGUGACAUGGACAAGUACAGUGACAUGGACAAGUACAGUGACAUGCCUCUCUUGCAAGCUCCAAAUACAACAAUGCAGUAAAUGCAGCACUAAACACAAGGUCAUUAUUUGGAGGUAUUCAAUCGGAAGCUAAAGAAGAACGAGUUAAUAUUGAAGGAUGGCCUGAAACUGCUUCUACACCUAUGCCAAUCUGCAGAGGACAUGGUCAUAGCCAGAGGUGCCAUCUACAGAGUGAUGUUGAAAAAGCACAAUCUAUGUUCAGUCAGAUUAUGAGCACUGACAGCAGAAUAUGUCAAAAUCUCAAAGUGCUGAUUGGCUAUGGCAGGAGCUGUGAAAGAAUCACUCUCUGUCUUGACCUUAGCAUUGGGAUCCAGCAGCCCUGCAUUUAUAAAGAAGCCUGAAUUCGCAGAAGGAAGUGGUGGACUUAGUGCGUCUUCAGAGCGAGGACAGCCCUCUGAUGGCGAGCGUGGAGCAGGCAGUGUCCCACCUCCAGCAGGCAGGUCAGGUGACCCAACGAAACCUGGACAAGAUGUUGUGUCAUACCCCCAUGGGGAAGAAGAGGGUGCCCAUGGGGAUAAUGGACGAGAGAAUGAUCAGCCAGAGGACUCUGAGGCCUCUGCAGUCCACUCUGUUGUCAGAGUGAAUGGGACUAGGUGUAUCUCUCAGCGUGUUUGAGGGGAUCCAGGUGAGGCGCAGAAUUGUGAAUCUUGAUCAGGUACUGAGUAGGUUUUUGGGAGGGGAUUUGCAGAUCAGUGAUUCUGCGCAGUCCGAGUGCAAUGUAGUCGAUUUUAAACAAACAUUGUUUCAUUCUAAACUCUGCCUUAAUUGUACCAGUCCCUGUCACAGCCAUGGAGGUCUGCUCUCACACCACCCAAGCAAGGCUGAACAGAGAUGCGCUCUCUCCCUACACCCAGACCUGGACUUUAUAGAGACCGAUAGUGUACCAGUCAGUGCAAUGUAUCUCUCCUCUCAGCCAGAGACCCUUCUGUAUUCCUCCUUUUUGAUCAUAUUCUUCACCCGUUCGCAUGCAAUGGUACAGGUAUACUAGUUGGUUCUACGUCUGGGGAGCCUCUUCAGAGCAUUUCAGACUUUUAACUGCUGACUGUGAAAAGGUUUGUUGAAUCCAAGGGACAUCAAUGUGUGCAAAAGAAGAAUGUAAUGGUGUAUGUGAGACAGAUAUGUAUAAACAUGUAAUUAUUUGAGAUUUAUAGGGUAAUACAUAUUGAAUGAAAUAAAAGCUGAUGUUGUAGAACUCUUUAUUAUUUUA
Oncorhynchus kisutch (coho salmon) is the source of this 1678-nucleotide long non-coding RNA. RefSeq lists it as uncharacterized. The transcript is spliced from 6 exons. The record is from RefSeq and is a predicted model, not a curated record. NCBI's taxonomy places the organism in Eukaryota, Metazoa, Chordata, Actinopteri, Salmoniformes, Salmonidae.